UACAAGUGACCCCGGUUUUACCACCGGGAUGUUCAUAACCCUUUGUUGUCUGACUCUGUUGCCUCCGGGGCGACCCUGCCUUCGGGCGGGGGCUCCGGGUGGACACUUCAAACUCUUGCGUAACUUUGCAGUCUGAGUAAACUUAAUUAAUAAAUUAAAACUUUUAACAACGGAUCUCUUGGUUCUGGCAUCGAUGAAGAACGCAGCGAAAUGCGAUAAGUAAUGUGAAUUGCAGAAUUCAGUGAAUCAUCGAAUCUUUGAACGCACAUUGCGCCCCCUGGUAUUCCGGGGGGCAUGCCUGUUCGAGCGUCAUUUCACCACUCAAGCCUCGCUUGGUAUUGGGCAACGCGGUCCGCCGCGUGCCUCAAAUCGACCGGCUGGGUCUUCUGUCCCCUAAGCGUUGUGGAAACUAUUCGCUAAAGGGUGUUCGGGAGGCUACGCCGUAAAACAACCCCAUUUCUAAGGUUGACCUCGGAUCAGGUAGGGAUACCCGCUGAACUUAAGCAUAUCAAUAA
RNAcentral lists this unclassified non-coding RNA (515 nucleotides) under Cladosporium flavovirens. RNAcentral's name for it is "sequence contains ITS1, 5.8S rRNA gene and ITS2". The stretch from base 159 to 312 matches the Rfam family "5.8S ribosomal RNA". The record is from RNAcentral. Lineage: Eukaryota; Fungi; Ascomycota; Dothideomycetes; Cladosporiales; Cladosporiaceae.